RNAcentral lists this long non-coding RNA (2772 nucleotides) under Canis lupus familiaris (dog). RNAcentral describes it as "lncRNA (ENSCAFG00000051891.1)". The record is from RNAcentral. Lineage: Eukaryota; Metazoa; Chordata; Mammalia; Carnivora; Canidae.
GGGAAGGAAGUGCAGUUAGAAUAGGAAAACCCAACUGGUACUUGGAGUAGUGACAGUCUCAGAACCAAGGGAGGAUCUGGAACUCAAAGGCCAGUGGGGUUACCAUGAGACCAAGAGGAUAAAGAUGAGAAUUACCUGGGAUGAUUAACAAACAGAGAAUCAGAGGUCUUUUGCAGUGAUCAUUUGCUUCUCUGCCGAGUUACAUCUGGAAGGAAUGGGUUAGCUUUCUCUUGUGCAUUCUUCAUUAAUACAAUUUGAAAAAAAAAACAGGUGCUAAAACAAAUUGGAAAACAAUGUACACACAACUAACAGUCUUGGAGAAAAAGAUUUCACGCUGUUUCUUGCUAACAUGUUCUGAUACUCAAUGGCACUUGUUACCCGGAUUUCUUUUUAAAAUCAUUAUCUAAAAUUCCCAUUGCUUUCAUUUAAGCUGAUUUUUUUUCUAGCUUCCUUUUGUUUAUCCUCAGGGGACAUGAAGAACAUAUGGUAACUAUCUCUCAAGUAAUAAUAUUCGUAUUUUUUUGAAAUAGGUAAUACACAAGAUUUUUUUUUUCUUUCUAGCUUACCAUUCUUCAGGCUAAAUAACACUAACUAGUUUAUCUUUUUUAUGGGCAUUUCUUCCCAGGCCAGUGGUUUAGACUGAGUCAAAUUUAUCUUCUAGGAUUUGGAGGAAAUUUAUAUCGAAGUCACUGGUUUGUAUUGAUGAGCAACAUUGGAGUCAAAUUUGCCUACUAGGUAGAAAUUCAAGAAUGAAAUGAUGAUGGCACCUUUUGGGAAUAAUUCUCUGUGCCUCUUCUGUAUCCUCAGAGCACUUAUCAAAACUAAUUGGUACACAGUAAAUUUUUCAAAAAAUAAAACUGUGGUCAAAGGGGAAGAAGUGUAGCUUUUAUCUUGUAUUCUCAAUGACUGCCAUAUAUCAGCUCAUUAUAUGUUUGAAUGAAAGCAAAAAUUAAAAAAUGUGCACUAAAAUGUAAGAUUAGGAAUAUGAUAUUUUUAAAGUUGUUAAAAGUAAAGGCUAGUCUUUUGGGCUCUUUCUUAGGAAUAUGAUAUUUUAUUUAUUUUAAUAUAUUCAGAAAUACAAGUAUUAUAAGCUCUGAGAUUGGUAGGAAUGAAUGUUAAUGAAUGUUGCCUCUACUUCAUCUCUAGAAUCUAUCUGCCAUCAUUUUUCAUGGCAGUCUCAUUAAAGAUUAUUGAAGGAGUAUGGGUCUCAAUUCAUCAACAAGUAUCUGUUAGAAGUCAAUCAAGAUUUUGUCACUGUGUUCCAGUGAGAAGUUAAGUAAACCCCAAAUCACAUAUUAUUAAAGUUUAUAAGGCUUCUGAUUUAUCUCAAAGCAGAUAUUCUCUUGGUACCAUAACAAGAAUGAAUGUUUACAUAGGUAGGCCUGACCUUGUGCUAGGCAGUAUUCUAGCACUUUCUGUAUAAUUAUAUACAUUAUAUUUUAUACUUAACCCAUUGAAGUGGAUGCUAUUAGUGUCUUUCUUUCUUUUUUUUUAUUAUUAUUAUUAGUGUCUUUCUUUUACAGAUGAGGAAAUUGAUGAGAUUUGCCUAAGAUCAUAUAGCUAGUAAGCAACCGAGCUAGAAUUUUAACCUGAGUCAUCUGGCUCCAAAUCCUAUAUACUUAAUCAUUAUUACUCCAUGAGAGAUGCCUUCCAUAUUCUUUUUGAGUAAACUGAGAAAUGAGAAGUGUACUACCUUAUGCUUGAAAAAUUCUUCUUCCUGUUGAAAUGUAAUCUUUCUUGCCAUACCCCUGCUUUGCUGGUUGAAUUUCACUCCCUGGAGAAAGAUGGAAGGGUCUCUUCUCAGACGUUGAAGACAGCUUUCAAACUUCUCCAAAAAUCUUCUCAAGAUUCAUAUCAUUCUCUCUUUUAACUGCCCUAUACGACAUUGGUUUUAUUUUGCUUUGUGAAAUUUCCCUUAUUCUAGAAAGGAUAUUAGAUGGUUCACAAAAAUAUACACAAUAGAUAAUUGAGAUAAUAUAUAUUUGCAAGUUUUGUGGCAUAGGUAGGUUUGACAAGCAUGCCUUUUGUGUCUGUAUUCAAGCUCCAGAUAAACAAAUUAGGACUGUAGAGAGUACAAAUCCCUGCAACAUGUGUCCCUAGACACUCACCCCAGGACUUCUCAAACAUCCAGGCUACUUCUUACUUAUAAUGUUGUUGACUGAUGUGUUUAUAUCUAGACUUCCAUGGGCAGCGCUCUUUUUCUCCAGGAUCUAUUCACCCGUUAACCUGGGAAGACAGCAUUGUAUAAUGAUACAGAAGUGGAUUUUGCCCUCAAAAUAUAUUAAAGCUUGACAAUAUUGGGAAAUUUACUUAAUCUCUGAGCUUUUAGUCUCAUUUUCUAGAUGGGAUAAAAAUGGACAUUUUGUCUCUUUUUAAGGAUAGUUUUGAGGAUUAAAUAUCAUACACAGGUAAUAUCCUUAGCACAUAGUGGAUGCUAUGUGCUAAGGAUAUUACAACUACAUGUAUUAUGAUUACAGCUUCACGUCAAGAAAGCUUUGUGUGGCCCAUGGAGUCUGUUUAAGUGUAUAUUUAACAAUUAGCUUUCUGGAAAAAAAGAAAAAAAAGAAAAGCUUUAGUUUAUGUAUUUAUUGAUUUCUGGGGUAAAAGUACCCCCAGCAAAGCUGCAUCUCUGAACACAGAAUUGGGAAGCAAUAUGGACAAUCCAACAGCUCUUAGAAGCCAGUGCAAGCUUGAUCCAGCGUGUCACUAUGUGUACCCAUGCUCCACUCACUCUCAGCCACAAGGAAGAUUUACAGCACUCAUAAAUAAGUA